RNAcentral lists this ribosomal RNA (232 nucleotides) under uncultured bacterium. RNAcentral's name for it is "partial 16S ribosomal RNA". It matches the Rfam family "Bacterial small subunit ribosomal RNA", at positions 524 to 755 of the family's 1533-position model. The record is from RNAcentral.
UACGUAGGGUGCAAGCGUUAAUCGGAAUUACUGGGCGUAAAGCGUGCGCAGGCGGUUGUGCAAGACAGAUGUGAAAUCCCCGGGCUUAACCUGGGAACUGCAUUUGUGACUGCACGGCUAGAGUGUGUCAGAGGGGGGUAGAAUUCCGCGUGUAGCAGUGAAAUGCGUAGAUAUGUGGAGGAACACCAAUGGCGAAGGCAGCCCCCUGGGCCGAUACUGACGCUCAUGCACG